UGACACAUCACGCCCUCUGCACCCU
This 25-nucleotide non-coding RNA is filed under the name Rattus norvegicus (Norway rat). The record is from RNAcentral. Lineage: Eukaryota; Metazoa; Chordata; Mammalia; Rodentia; Muridae.